RNAcentral lists this unclassified non-coding RNA (337 nucleotides) under Melitaea cinxia (Glanville fritillary). RNAcentral describes it as "misc RNA ENSMCXG00005020231.1". Lineage: Eukaryota; Metazoa; Arthropoda; Insecta; Lepidoptera; Nymphalidae. The record is from RNAcentral.
UUCUUUCGUGCGAUGGAAGUUAUGCUACAAUUUCUUGCAUUGUACGAGUGAACUGCAAAUCGAUUGAGCAACAAAAGAACAGAUCGUCUCCGAGUUAGAUAUCUUUAGUGAUCGGUUGACCGAAAAUAUAGACUCCGCAUAAGUAAUCAAGAACAGAUCACCACUUCACGUUUAAUCUUCUAUAGAAAUGAAAAUGAGUAGCCGAAAUGUACGAACGCGGGUAACUUCCAAACGACUGCACCUAAUUGGUUAUCUGAUUCAGACGAUUGUUAUUUGAACAGAAAAAUCUCGAAGUCAAUCGAAGUCUCUCGAAGUAUUUAUAUUUAAAUAGAAUGAU